RNAcentral lists this transfer RNA (71 nucleotides) under Dysgonomonadaceae bacterium PH5-43. RNAcentral describes it as "tRNA-Gln". It matches the Rfam family "tRNA". Rfam says of the family: Transfer RNA (tRNA) molecules are approximately 80 nucleotides in length. Their secondary structure includes four short double-helical elements and three loops (D, anti-codon, and T loops). Further hydrogen bonds mediate the characteristic L-shaped molecular structure. tRNAs have two regions of fundamental functional importance: the anti-codon, which is responsible for specific mRNA codon recognition, and the 3' end, to which the tRNAs corresponding amino acid is attached (by aminoacyl-tRNA synthetases). tRNAs cope with the degeneracy of the genetic code in two manners: having more than one tRNA (with a specific anti-codon) for a particular amino acid; and 'wobble' base-pairing, i.e. permitting non-standard base-pairing at the 3rd anti-codon position. The record is from RNAcentral. Lineage: Bacteria; Pseudomonadati; Bacteroidota; Bacteroidia; Bacteroidales; Dysgonomonadaceae.
UGUCCCAUGGUGUAGUGGUAGCACAUCUGGUUUUGGUUCAGCUAGCCUAGGUUCGAGUCCUGGUGGGACAA